AUGACGAACCUCGACCUUCGACAUCGAGGCCGGCAGACGUAGAAGAAGGUGACAUGCCUGCCCUGAUAGAAACAUGACGGUGAGAGGACAGCCCGGUCUCCUAAACACCCCAACCUCAGAUGACUUGGCCUAACCCACCAUCAUCAGUGUGCUCACAGUCUUCCCGAUUCAGCUGGCAAGAUGAGAAUCCUGUUGCUGGUUAUAGUUUUUCUGGUCACAGACUCCGCACUCGGUGAUCCGUGUGUAAACCACACCGUCCUGGAUCAGCCCUGGAGGAGCACGAAUUGUUCCAACACUGAGUGUACCGGUGGACAAUGGAUGAGUGAUGGAAAUCUUGAAGUGGG
Molecule: long non-coding RNA, 344 nt
Organism: Hypanus sabinus (Atlantic stingray)
Lineage: Eukaryota; Metazoa; Chordata; Chondrichthyes; Myliobatiformes; Dasyatidae
Exons: 3
Source: RefSeq, a predicted model, not a curated record